GGCGAACGGGUUGAGUAAUGCAUCGGAACGUGCCCAGUCGUGGGGGAUAACGCAGCGAAAGUUGUGCUAAUACCGCAUACGAUCUAUGGAUGAAAGCGGGGGACCUUCGGGCCUCGCGCGAUUGGAGCGGCCGAUGUUAGAUUAGGUAGUUGGUGGGGUAAAGGCUCACCAAGCCAACGAUCUAUAGCUGGUCUGAGAGGACGACCAGCCACACUGGAACUGAGACACGGUCCAGACUCCUACGGGAGGCAGCAGUGGGGAAUUUUGGACAAUGGGCGAAAGCCUGAUCCAGCAAUACCGCGUGCAGGAAGAAGGCCCUCGGGUUGUGAACUGCUUUUGUACGGAACGAAACGGCGUGCUCUAAUAAAGUGCGCUAAUGACGGUACCGUAAGAAUAAGCACCGGCUAACUACGUGCCAGCAGCCGCGGUAAUACGUAGGGUGCAAGCGUUAAUCGGAAUUACUGGGCGUAAAGCGUGC
This 478-nucleotide ribosomal RNA is filed under the name uncultured Hydrogenophaga sp. RNAcentral's name for it is "bacterial SSU rRNA". It matches the Rfam family "Bacterial small subunit ribosomal RNA", at positions 97 to 570 of the family's 1533-position model. Lineage: Bacteria; Pseudomonadati; Pseudomonadota; Betaproteobacteria; Burkholderiales; Comamonadaceae. The record is from RNAcentral.